RNAcentral lists this ribosomal RNA (822 nucleotides) under Triticum aestivum (bread wheat). RNAcentral describes it as "partial small subunit ribosomal RNA". Lineage: Eukaryota; Viridiplantae; Streptophyta; Magnoliopsida; Poales; Poaceae. The record is from RNAcentral.
AUGGCCGGUGGUAAAGGAGUGCAGCAACGCACCACCUCGGGUGGUUCCCAGUCGCCGGCUCCGGAGGAGCGGCGAGGGCGCAGCCGCUCCAGGCGCGGCCAUCGCGGUGAGGUCGUGGUUAGGGAGAUCGUGCGCGAGACCGCAAUCUGCGGUAGCGUGCCCAUCACCUUCCCGAUGCUCACGCGCUCAAACUACAGUGAGUGGGCGUUGAUCAUGGAGUGCAACCUUCAUGCGGCGAGCCUCUGGGCUCCCAUGGAGGAUGACCUGAUCGAGAGAAAGGAGGACAGGAAAGCCGUGGCAGCCCUCAUGCGCGCCACGCCGCCGGAGAUGCACGGCAUGCUCGCGGCGAAGGCAAGCGCCAAGGAGGUGUGGGAAGCCAUCCAUACCCAGCGCCUCGGCAGCAACCGCGUGCGCGAGGCGAACGCGCAGAAGCUGCGGGCGGACUUCGAGAACAUCGCCUUCAAGGAGGGCGAGCUCGUCGACGAAUUCGCCAUGCGGAUCUCCAGCCUUGCGUCACAGCUCCGCGCGCUCGGCGACACCAUGGACGACGCGAGAGUCGUGCGGAAAUUUCUCCGCGUCGUGCCAUCUCGCUUCGCUCAGGUAGCGGUCUCCAUCGAGACCUUGCUUGAUCUGAGUGAGCUCUCCGUCGAGGAGCUCACGGGCCGGUUGCGGGUGGUCGAGGACCGUCUUGACGACGGCCGCGAGAGCUUCGGCGGCGGACAACUCCUAUUCUCAAAGAAGUGGGAGGCGAGGAAGCGUCAAGGACGUGGUGGUGGUGCCCAGAGCGGCAGAGACGGCGGUCGCACCCAGGGUGGAGCCUGA